Gallus gallus (chicken) is the source of this 411-nucleotide long non-coding RNA. Lineage: Eukaryota; Metazoa; Chordata; Aves; Galliformes; Phasianidae. The record is from Ensembl.
CAUCUAUGCGCUUCAGUUGAAAGCUACUGAGGACUGGACACAGUGGUUAGUCUUGGGACCAGUGCUAUUCAACAUCUUCAUCGCUGACACAGACGAUGGCAUCGAGUGCAUCCUCAGCAAGUUUGCAGAUGGACCUGGACAGGCUGGAGAACUGGGCCCAUGUGAAACUAAUGAAGUUCAACAAGGCCAAGUGCAAGGUGCUGUUCUUGGGCUGGGGCAAUUCCAGUAUUCCUUGUCAUAACAUCGUGUGGCAAGAAGUUUGGUGCUGAAGCACAGUGCCAAGGAGCUGCACUUCCUGGGUCACGUUCUACUAGAACUCUCAACUAUUCUCACACAAGUUCUGGCUCUCUGAGAGGAAGAUAUGCUGAGCAAGAGACAGACUACAAUCCCCAGAAGUCUUCAGUAAUCCCC